GGGUUUUCAUAUAUCCAGUUCCAGUCUCUCUCCCUCUCUGCAUUGACGACGGCUACAUCGCUAAUCCUCCCAAAUCUCCAAAUUCAUCCAGAUCGGAAACCAGUCAAUGCCGACCACCUUUGAACGGAAUCUCAAUCUAUGUUUCACCAAAAUCAAACGCCCCCAAUCACCACCACCAUCUCCUCCUCCUCCUCCUCCCCACCGCCAUCGCCACCACCAUCGUCGCCGCCACUCCGAGCAAUCCCUACACAAUCCCAAAUCUAACCUCAUCAAAAACUUCAACACUCUCUAUGACAUUCCCCCCGCCUCCGAUUCUGACGACUCAU
RNAcentral lists this long non-coding RNA (326 nucleotides) under Lactuca sativa (garden lettuce). RNAcentral's name for it is "long non-coding RNA (LSAT_LNC006162)". The record is from RNAcentral. Lineage: Eukaryota; Viridiplantae; Streptophyta; Magnoliopsida; Asterales; Asteraceae.